This 916-nucleotide ribosomal RNA is filed under the name uncultured archaeon. RNAcentral describes it as "SSU rRNA". It matches the Rfam family "Archaeal small subunit ribosomal RNA", at positions 1 to 923 of the family's 1478-position model. The record is from RNAcentral.
UUUCCGGUUGAUCCCGCCGGACCUGACUGCUAUCGGAUUGAUACUAAGCCAUGCGAGUCUUUGUAGUAAUACAAGGCAGACGGCUCAGUAACGCGUAGUCAACCUACCCUAUGGACGGGAAUAAUCUCGGGAAACUGAGCAUAAUACCCGGCGUACCACCAUUCCUGGAAUGGUUGGUGGUUAAAAUGAUUCGUCGCCGUAGGAUGGGACUGCGACCUAUCAGCUUGUUGGUGAGGUAAAGGCCCACCAAGGCGAUUACAGGUACGGGCUCUGAGAGGAGAAGCCCGGAGAUGGGUACUGAGACACGGACCCAGGCCCUAUGGGGCGCAGCAGGCGAGAAAACUUUGCAAUGUGCGAAAGCACGACAAGGUUAAUCCGAGUGAUUUCUGCUAAAGGAAUCUUUUGCCAGUUCUAAAAAUACUAGUGAAUAAGGGGUGGGCAAGUUCUGGUGUCAGCCGCCGCGGUAAAACCAGCACCUCAAGUGGUCAGGAGGAUUAUUGGGCCUAAAGCAUCCGUAGCCUGCUCUGUAAGUUUUCGGUUAAAUCUAUAUGCUCAACGUAUAGGCUGCCGAAAAUACUGCAGUGCUAGGAAGUGGGAGAGGUAGACGGUACUUGAUAGGAAGGGGUAAAAUCCUUUGAUCUAUCGAUGACCACCUGUGGCGAAGGCGGUCUACCAGAACACGUUCGACGGUGAGGGAUGAAAGCUGGGGGAGCAAACCGGAUUAGAUACCCGGGUAGUCCCAGCUGUAAACGAUGCAGACUCGAUGAUGCAUUGGCAUAUAGCCAGUGCAGUGUCGCAGGGAAGCCGUUAAGUCUGCCGCCUGGGAAGUACGUACGCAAGUAUGAAACUUAAAGGAAUUGGCGGGGGAGCACCACAAGGGGUGAAGCCUGCGGUUCAAUUGGAGUCAACGCCGGAA